AUGGAAUUAACUGGCAAACUGAUGUCUCUGCUUCCCCUUACUGGCGGAGCUCAGUGGGAGCCUCACUCCUUGCUGCCACUCCUUCCUUCCUUCCGUCCUGCCGAGUUGCCCUUUUCUACUCCCCAGCACUCCCAACCUGCAUACUCAGGUACCCAGCAUAAUUGCCUGGCACAGAGACAACCCUCAAAAACUGUUUACAUAAUUGGUAAACUGGUUUGA
This 219-nucleotide long non-coding RNA is filed under the name Aotus nancymaae (Ma's night monkey). RNAcentral describes it as "lncRNA (ENSANAG00000038832.1)". The record is from RNAcentral. Lineage: Eukaryota; Metazoa; Chordata; Mammalia; Primates; Aotidae.